AGUGAACGCUGGCGGUAGGCCUAACACAUGCAAGUCGAACGGCAGCACAGUAAGAGCUUGCUCUUACGGGUGGCGAGUGGCGGACGGGUGAGGAAUACAUCGGAAUCUACUUUUUCGUGGGGGAUAACGUAGGGAAACUUACGCUAAUACCGCAUACGACCUACGGGUGAAAGCAGGGGAUCUUCGGACCUUGCGCGAUUGAUUGAGCCGAUGUCGGAUUAGCUAGUUGGCGGGGUAAAGGCCCACCAAGGCGACGAUCCGUAGCUGGUCUGAGAGGAUGAUCAGCCACACUGGAACUGAGACACGGUCCAGACUCCUACGGGAGGCAGCAGUGGGGAAUAUUGGACAAUGGGCGCAAGCCUGAUCCAGCCAGACCGCGUGGGUGAAGAAGGCCUUCGGGUUGUAAAGCCCUUUUGUUGGGAAAGAAAAGCAGCAGGUUAAUACCCCGCUGUUCUGACGGUACCCAAAGAAUAAGCACCGGCUAACUUCGUG
RNAcentral lists this ribosomal RNA (492 nucleotides) under uncultured bacterium. Its description in RNAcentral is "partial 16S ribosomal RNA". It matches the Rfam family "Bacterial small subunit ribosomal RNA", at positions 29 to 507 of the family's 1533-position model. The record is from RNAcentral.